GCGGCGUGCUUAACACAUGCAAGUCGAACGAACCUUCGGGUUAGUGGCGGACGGGUGAGUAACGCGUGGGAAUCUGCCCUCAGGAGGGGGAUAACGGUUGGAAACGGCCGCUAAUACCCCAUAUGCCGAGAGGUGAAAUGAAUUUCGCCUGAGGAUGAGCCCGCGUCUGAUUAGCUAGUUGGUGAGGUAAGAGCUCACCAAGGCAUCGAUCAGUAGCUGGUCUGAGAGGAUGAUCAGCCACACUGGGACUGAGACACGGCCCAGACUCCUACGGGAGGCAGCAGUGGGGAAUUUUCCGCAAUGGGCGAAAGCCUGACGGAGCAACGCCGCGUGAGGGAUGAAGGCCUCUGGGCUGUAAACCUCUUUUAUCAAGGAAGAAGAUCUGACGGUACU
Molecule: ribosomal RNA, 393 nt
Filed under: uncultured cyanobacterium
Lineage: Bacteria; Bacillati; Cyanobacteriota
Description: bacterial SSU rRNA
Rfam family: Bacterial small subunit ribosomal RNA
Source: RNAcentral